UCCAAGUUUGAAGGCAGUGUGGUCUCCAGU
Molecule: non-coding RNA, 30 nt
Filed under: Rattus norvegicus (Norway rat)
Lineage: Eukaryota; Metazoa; Chordata; Mammalia; Rodentia; Muridae
Source: RNAcentral